UACGGGGGGGGCAAGCGUUGUUCGGAAUUACUGGGCGUAAAGGGUUUGUAGGUGGCUUGCUAAGUCAGACGUGAAAUCCCUCAGCUUAACUGGGGAACUGCGUCUGAGACUGGCGAGCUUGAGUGCAGGAGAGGAACGCGGAAUUCCAGGUGUAGCGGUGAAAUGCGUAGAUAUCUGGAGGAACACCGGUGGCGAAGGCGGCUCUCUGGGACGGUACUGACGCUGAGACGCGAAAGCGUGGGGAGCGAACAGG
This 253-nucleotide ribosomal RNA is filed under the name uncultured bacterium. Its description in RNAcentral is "partial 16S ribosomal RNA". It matches the Rfam family "Bacterial small subunit ribosomal RNA", at positions 524 to 776 of the family's 1533-position model. The record is from RNAcentral.